AAAAUUCAAGCUUGGGCUUCGAAUGUUUGAGCCCGAACUUGUCCUAUAUUUUAAAUGGGACUAAAUUUGAGGUGGAUAUUUAGAUUUGGUUGGGUAGCAUGGCCCGUAAAAUAGGUGUAUACCUGAUGAUGUAAAAACAAAACGGAGGAUUUCCGUUAGCUCUAGUAUGGGAGAUAUCAGAUGUAUACAACAAGAGGGGAACUCUUGAACAACCUUGGAGUUAAACGGAGCAUUGAGAAUGAAAAGUAUUUAGGCAUUCCUUUGUUGUUGGGUUGGAUAGAUGAAUGUUAAUAAAGGAUUAGAUAAAGAGAAUAUACGAAAGAGUAUUAUUACAAUUAGUAUAAGUUAUGUAGUGGGUGUUGAAUUUGUUCUUCGCAUUCCUAUUAGUAUGAUUUAUGAGGAAUUCUCAUUGUUCGACCAAGGCCGUAUUAGGACAGGGAAAUGUGGUACCUAAGGUGGAAAGUUAUACAUGGAGCUGUUUGCGUAUGGGAUAUUGCCUACUACAUAUGAUUUACAAAGGAUGAGGCUUUAGUUGCAAUGAGAUGAGAAUAAAAAAUUAGUGUAGUAUUAAGGACGUUAAGUUAAAAUGUAUAUAUAAUUAAAUAUCAAAAUAUUUUAUAAAUUAAAUAACAAAAUAUAAUUAUGUUAAAUUAUAAAUAAAAAUUAUAAAAAAUUAUUUAUAUUAUAUUAUAUAAUAAUAUAUUAGGAUUAUGUUAUUUAUAUUAAAUAAAAAUAUAUUUAUAUUUAUACUUAAAACAAAAUAAAUAAUAAUAAUAAGUAAAGAAUUGAGAGGAUAAGAAGAUACCUUUAUUUUGGAGCUUCCUAUCUGUUCGUUGGUCCUUGGAACUCCUAUCAAAAUUUUGUGGUCGUUUCAUUGGUGGUGUGCCAAUCACACCAAUAUAUGGCUAGGUUUAUGUUGGGAAAUUUUACACUUUGAAAAUUUAACGCAUUGAAGGCACCAUUGAUAUAAAUGGGCCUUUAAACUCUGAUACUUAACAAUGUGCUAUUAAAUCAUUGAUAUAAAAAGAGACAGAAAAAUUAAAUGGGGUUAAAAUGAUUAUUUUUAUAAAUUUUGAGGACAAAAAAAGUUAUUAUGCCUAUAUAAAAGGAAGAAAUGACCAUGUCUUGGGGAUUGUAGAGGGAAAAUUUAAAGGGUAAGAGCUUUAAGAAGCAACGUUUUGGAAAUAUAUAGAUGACAUAUUAAUAGGUUUACAUUGAACCGACCCAGCUGUGUAGUAAGCGUGUAUUUAGCUGCUUGGAAAAUUGGAAAGGAAUUGAAUGGUAGGUUGAGAGGACUAGGCCCCUUGGGCCUUCACACGCUGCUUCACUCGGUUUGCCCACGCUUUUAUAAUUGGUUGUGUGCCAAACUGAAAAUCCAAAAGCCAACGAUCCUCCCCGGCAUAUUCUCGCUGCCCACUUGCAAUCAAUGGAUGCGCCCAC
This 1440-nucleotide long non-coding RNA is filed under the name Gossypium barbadense (sea-island cotton). RNAcentral describes it as "long non-coding RNA (GBAR_LNC013578)". The record is from RNAcentral. Lineage: Eukaryota; Viridiplantae; Streptophyta; Magnoliopsida; Malvales; Malvaceae.